UGGGUGUGGGCCAAGCUGUAGGUGUGGGCAUGGGCGACAGUGUAGGCAUGGGCAUGGGUGUGGGUGAUGGUGUGGGUGUGGGCCAGGCUGUAGGUGUGGGCAUGGGUGACGGUGUAGGCAUGGGCAUGGGUGUGGGUGAUGGCGUGGGUGUGGGCGAGGCUGUAGGUGUGGGCAUGGGUGAUGGUGUAGGCGUGGGCAUGGGUGUGGGUGUCAGUGAUAGUGCAGCCAUCCCCACACCUAAGGG
RNAcentral lists this long non-coding RNA (244 nucleotides) under Homo sapiens (human). RNAcentral's name for it is "non-protein coding lnc-IDI1-4:2". The record is from RNAcentral. Lineage: Eukaryota; Metazoa; Chordata; Mammalia; Primates; Hominidae.